This 253-nucleotide ribosomal RNA is filed under the name uncultured bacterium. RNAcentral describes it as "partial 16S ribosomal RNA". It matches the Rfam family "Bacterial small subunit ribosomal RNA", at positions 524 to 776 of the family's 1533-position model. The record is from RNAcentral.
UACGUAGGGCGCAAGCGUUGUCCGGAAUUAUUGGGCGUAAAGAGCUCGUAGGUGGCGUGUCGCGUCUGCCGUGAAAGCCCAUGGCUUAACUGUGGGUCUGCGGUGGAUACGGGCAGGCUGGAGGCUGGUAGGGGCAAGUGGAAUUCCUGGUGUAGCGGUGAAAUGCGCAGAUAUCAGGAGGAACACCAAUGGCGAAGGCAGCUCGCUGGAACGGUACUGACGCUGAGGCGCGAAAGCGUGGGGAGCGAACAGG